Molecule: long non-coding RNA, 618 nt
Organism: Daphnia magna
Lineage: Eukaryota; Metazoa; Arthropoda; Branchiopoda; Diplostraca; Daphniidae
Exons: 2
Source: RefSeq, a predicted model, not a curated record
GAUUACAUAAAUGUAUGACUUUUCAGGUUAAGCAAACGGCCUUGUAGAAGUCAAGCGUUGCUCUGUUUCUUACCAUGCCCACCUGGUUUCAAGAUCAUUAGUCGUUUCAAUUCGAUCUGCUUCCAACAGAAUCAGGGAAAGAGUUUGAUAAAUCAUAGCUCCCCCUUCCCACAGUGCAGAUUUUUUUAUUUCUUCAACAUCUACCGAGGCUUUUCUAUCGUGUUUCUUCGAACGUUUCAGUCCAUUGCUAGAUAGCGACAUUGAAACCACGUCAAUGUAGUUCUACAGCACAGACGGAGAGGUUUGAGGACGUGUAUGAGCUUUUGAUGUGGCAAAUAGAAUAUGACGGAAAGCAAUCAAAGGAAUAUUAGACGGAGAGUCUUCUUUUUUCAACAGGAUCUUUUUGGAAUCCAUCUCUUGUGCACUCGUUGAUGGUCAGUCCCCUCGAUAGACUCGGUCCACGAUGCACGUGCUACCAUAUAUUGGCCACUGUUGAAAGAUGAAGAGUGCGUUCAAUCUCAUGUGUUUCCAUUUUAUUGACUAAAAGUGUGUAUUGAAAACCGCAUUUUCAAUUUUGAAUCGCAAUUUUGCAAGUAAAAAGAAAUGUUUUUCACGCCA